GACGAACGCUGGCGGCGUGCCUAAUACAUGCAAGUCGAACGAACCGCGACUAGGUGCUUGCACUUGGUCAAGGUGAGUGGCGAACGGGUGAGUAACACGUGGGUAACCUACCUCAUAGUGGGGGAUAACAGUCGGAAACGACUGCUAAUACCGCAUAGGACAUGGGAUCACAUGAUUCUGUGAGGAAAGGUGGCGCAAGCUAUCGCUAAGAGAUGGACCCGCGGUGCAUUAGCUAGUUGGUAGGGUAACGGCCUACCAAGGCGAUGAUGCAUAGCCGACCUGAGAGGGUGAUCGGCCACAUUGGGACUGAGACACGGCCCAAACUCCUACGGGAGGCAGCAGUAGGGAAUCUUCCGCAAUGGACGCAAGUCUGACGGAGCAACGCCGCGUGAGUGAAGAAGGUCUUCGGAUCGUAAAGCUCUGUUGUUAGAGAAGAACAGCGCAUAGAGUAACUGUUAUGCGUGUGACGGUAGCUAACCAGAAAGCCACGGCUAACUACGUG
Molecule: ribosomal RNA, 502 nt
Filed under: uncultured bacterium
Lineage: Bacteria
Description: partial 16S ribosomal RNA
Rfam family: Bacterial small subunit ribosomal RNA
Source: RNAcentral